AGUGAACGCUGGCGGUAGGCCUAACACAUGCAAGUCGAACGGCAGCACAGUAAGAGCUUGCUCUUACGGGUGGCGAGUGGCGGACGGGUGAGGAAUACAUCGGAAUCUACUUUUUCGUGGGGGAUAACGUAGGGAAACUUACGCUAAUACCGCAUACGACCUACGGGGGAAAGCAGGGGAUCUUCGGACCUUGCGCGAUUGAAUGAGCCGAUGUCGGAUUAGCUAGUUGGCGGGGUAAAGGCCCACCCAGGCGACGAUCCGUAGGUGGUCUGAGAGGAUGGUUAGCCACCUUGGCACUGAGACAGGGUCCAGACUCCUACGGUAGGCAGCAGUGGGGAAUAUUGGACAAUGGGCGCAAGCCUGAUCCAGCCAUACCGCGUGGGUGAAGAAGGCCUUCGGGUUGUAAAGCCCUUUUGUUGGGAAAGAAAAGCAGCAGUUUAAUACCCCGCUGUUCUGACGGUACCCAAAGAAUAAGCACCGGCUAACUUCGUG
This 492-nucleotide ribosomal RNA is filed under the name uncultured bacterium. RNAcentral describes it as "partial 16S ribosomal RNA". It matches the Rfam family "Bacterial small subunit ribosomal RNA", at positions 29 to 507 of the family's 1533-position model. The record is from RNAcentral.